AAGAAAUAACAAUUGGAAGAUGGCAGGCAUAAGAGAAACCAGGAUGAAGAGCAGCCCUCAUGAUGGGGAUAGUGGCCUUGAAGGAGAAGAGGAGGAGAGAGCAAAUGGAAAGGCUAUGUGAGGACAUAGCAAGAAAUGGCCGUCUGCAAGCCAGGAAGAGAGCUCUCGCCAGGAACCAAAUCAGCCUAUAUCUUGAUCUUAGACGUUCAGCCUCCAGAACUGCACUUGAGAUAAUGCAUAAAUU
Long non-coding RNA from Eptesicus fuscus (big brown bat), 244 nucleotides. RefSeq lists it as uncharacterized. Lineage: Eukaryota; Metazoa; Chordata; Mammalia; Chiroptera; Vespertilionidae. The transcript has 3 exons. The record is from RefSeq and is a predicted model, not a curated record.